CUUUUUUGAAACCCGCUCGUGGCUGUCAAGGCGGCGCUUAGAGUUUCGCGGCGCCGCCGAAGAGGUCCACUCGAGGGAACAAUAGUGGCAAGGCAAGCGGGCACAAUGCACAAGAGGCCGAGAAGGGGCUCGAUUCGAGCUGGAGGGGGAGGGCAGGUAAGGAUCGUGCGUGGCCUUUAGAGGAGGCCGGGCGUCGCGUAGACCCCGUAAGUCGCCUUUCUCGCGAGGACCUGACCCCUCCGCUCCAGCGCCUAUUCGUGGUUAAACCCGCAGCCGCGAAGUCCUAUAUAACUCUACCGACCUUUUCCUGCGAUACAAGGCGGCGUCAUACAAGGCAAUAUACCAGAUCUGUGACUCCUCCUAUCACAAGGACUCCACCUCCUCUUGUAACGGUGCGCGGUUUCUAAUUCGGCCCUAGGAUGUGUUACCAGAAGUCCGUAAACACGAACAAAACUACUAGGUGUCUCGACAUACGAUGAAAGACUGGACACUGAGGAACUAAAUGUCUUCCUUUCUAUUUUCCAACAUAACCACGCUGAACGGGGACGAAAGAGAAACCUUUUUUACGUGUCAAGAACCCUAGACCUUGAGAGCGACCUAGUACGUGGUGUGUAACGUACGAAACCCCGGAAGACUGUUCAAAGACGACAGACACAUGACCCCCCGAACAUAAUCGUCAAGGUCCCAGACGACAACGAACAAUACGAACACCUAUGGCGGUUCGUGAUUCUUGCUUCAUGUUGGAAGGCCUUCGUGGUACGCCACUAAACUGCUGUGUGAAUAAGACGGUAGACACACGCUAUACGGUUCUCAUGUCCCUCUAGGCGCUCUCUUGUCUGUGACCGUGGAGAAGUCGAGGACUACAAUGGGGUGGAGGCCACGUCUGUUACCUACUGGAAACUAACUCAUCUACUGCGUUUGUAUAGGACUGAGCGUUUAAAAACCAACCGAACCGUACGGGAACGGACGUUCCCGAACACAAUAGCGCGUGACGAGGGUGUUGAUGCUACAGUCUGACAUAUGUCGACCACAUUUCUAUUGGAACAUUUGAUUACCUGUCGCGCUUUUCCACAUUGGACAACAACGUGCUAACAUCGAACAUUGUAAAAAAAGAAGUAUAUACAUCUUAACUUUACUUUUGUUUUAUUCACAAGAGG
This 1157-nucleotide ribosomal RNA is filed under the name Triticum aestivum (bread wheat). Its description in RNAcentral is "partial small subunit ribosomal RNA". Lineage: Eukaryota; Viridiplantae; Streptophyta; Magnoliopsida; Poales; Poaceae. The record is from RNAcentral.